GACAUGUAAGCGGUCUGCAAGCUUCCUGACGGCAAGAGCUGGACUUCAUUCUUGACAGUUCUUGUCACUGGACCAGAGCAUAGGAACACAUCCAGGUUACACGAUGUCUGACCCAGGGGAUCUUCCUAAAGGAAAGCCCCAGAAGUAUCCACAAAGGAAAAGAACCAUGUUCACUCAGAAACAACUGGCAGAUUUGCGGCUCCUGUUCAAUGAGAACCCAUACCCGACCUCCAGCCUUCAGAGAGAAAUGGCCUCAAAAAUGGAGAUACAUCCAACAGUCGUGAAGGUUUGGUUCAAGAACCACAGAGCAAAACUCAAGAGAGCCAAAUACAAGCCUAUUCAGCAAAAACAACAAGAGGCUCAACAGCAGCAAUUAGCUGAGGCAGGAGGCAAGGCCAGCUCUUCCAAGACAGGCGCGGAUACACCUCCCAGAUCCCCUCGCAGGGCCCUCCCCGCAUCCCUGGUUUAUACAGAGCAUCCAGAGCAUCCAGUGCCUGCUUUCCAGCUCCGCCUGUGCCCCAAUUUUAAUGCUCACACAGACCACUUUGUUGGCCACAAAAUAGUUCAUUUCGGCUGCUGCCGAGACCCUAACAUAUACUGCCUCUCUCCCACUCUGGAAUCCCAAGUUCUUUCCACGAGCAUCAGCGCUAAUUCCUUCUGCUCUUCAUCACCACCAAGAUCUUGUCAGUGAGAGGACCCAGACACAAAAAGUCACGUGGUGGAAUGAUUUGUAAUGAUUCCCACACACGAGAAUGCUUUUCAGCCAUAAAAAGGAAGGAACACAAGAUAUACACAACAUGGAUGCGUUUCAACAUUGUGUUGAAUGAAAGAAAAAAAGACACGAAAGACAACAUACUAUAUAAUUCCAUUUAUAUGCAUUCCUGGAGCAGGAAAUGCCACAGCGCCAAAAAACACAUUAGCGGCUGCCCAUGUGGUAGAUCUAAGAGACUAGUAUGGGCAGUAUCUUUUUUCUUUUUCCUGCUUCUUUGUUAUGAUUUUAUUUUUUUUCUCCAGUAUCAUUCAGGUUUAGUCACUGUCAGUAAGUGGAGCUUUGGCUUAUUUUUUUCUACUUUCUAUUUUUCAGUCACCUUCCCAGCCAUCUCUUUAUAACUUUGACCACUCAAAUAUUUCCAGCUCCCAAAUUUUUCUUUUGUUAAUCUUUUUUUUUUUUUUUUUAAGAUUGGUACCCGAGCUAACAUCUGUUGCCAAUCUUCCUUUUCCUUUUUUUCUUUUCUUCUUCUUCUCCCCAAAGCGCUCCCCAGGACACAGCUGUACACUCCAGGUGCAGGUCCUUCUGGUUGUGCUAUAUGGGACACCACCCCAGCCUGGCCCAAUGAGUGGUGCCACGUCUGCACCCAGGAUCUGAACCGGCAAACCCCAGGCCACCGAAGCAGAGGGCACGAACUCAACCACUUGGCCACGGAGCUGGUCCCUCAACUCUCCUUAAGACAAUGAAACAUGCUCUCCUAAGCCAUCUGUAACCCCCCAGAAGGAACCGCUAUUUUGACUUUUGCCUAUUCAUAAAUUUCACAUAAGUUGAAUCAUUCCAUAUGGACUCCUCUGUGUGCCUUCUUUCACUCGCCAUGUUCUAGAUGAAAUUCACGCAUAUUGUUGAGAGUACACCGUUAACAAUGAAAAAUCCUUGGUAGAACCCAGUGGUUCUCCAGCAGGGGUGAUUUGCAUACCAGGUGACAUUUGGCAGUGUCUGGAGAUAUUUUUGGUUGGCAUAGCUGGGGGGUGAGGAGGGUGCCGCUGGCACGUAGUGGGUGGAGGUCAAGGAUGCUACUGAACGUCCCACAAUGCGCAAGUCAGCCCCCCACGACAAAGAAUGAUCCAGCCCAAAAUGCUGUUGGUGCCAGGGAGAGAAACCCUGGAAUACCCUGAGAGACUGAAUAUACAAAUGGACAGUGUCCAGACCCCAUCUAAAAAGAGAACUCCGACCCACCACCUCUGUACCAACCAGUCCAGGAAACCAAACCACAACCCCUGUAGCAAGUGGCCCAAAGUGGCCAGGACUUGAUCAAUCAUUGACAGCUUCCCUAAUGCGUGCAGCCCUUCCACCCUCACUUUCAACUUAGGACCAACCAGACAAAGCCACACAUGUUCCUCUGGCCAAUCACGUAGGACACCCCACUUCUAAUUAGCCCGCCUCCAGCUUCCCCAUGCCGACCAGUCUCCAGUCAGAGCACACCUGAAGAUUUCUUUUUUCCACUAUAAAGCGUUCAGACUCCUUUGCUUGCCUUUUGGUCUCUGCCAAACCCCUUGAUAGUGGCUGACUCCCUUACUGUAGCAAGCUCUGAAUAAAUAUUUUCUUGUUUUCAUUUCAUUUCAUUUUCACUGAUUUCCACAAACCUUCUACCUAGCCCAUAUUUAGAUUUCUCUGCUCAUUCUCAAAAUACUUUCUCAAUAUCCAUUGUUUGAGUCAGCGUCCCAGCAACAUCCACACAUCAGCGGCUACAAACGGCCAUUACCUAAUUCAGCCGUUCCUUCCACAAUUAUCAGAUAGAUGCUCCUGCUUGGGAGAACGUUUCCUCAUCAAUUAUCACAAACAAAAUCCCGGUUCCCAGAAAAGCGCCAGCAACAAAGCAGGCAUUGAAGAUGUUUUCAAAAGAAAGAAAAAAAGCAAAGAGAGAGGGAUUGGUUGAUUCAGUGAAUGAAUGGCAUCCUCAGGAUAAGAGCCCCGACUCACAACAAACCCGGGCUCUCCUCCCUCACCACCUUCUAGCCCAGUAUUGCUCAAACCUGCUGGUAAGAUGAUGAAAAACACCGGGGGAGCUUUCAAAUCCCAGAUUCCAGGAGCGGAGGGAGUUUGCGGUCUCGGGAAGCAGGCACAAUUUUACCAGAUUUUACCCAGGAUCGUAUUUAAACAACGGUCAAAGUGCAGGAGGCACAGCCAAAGCCUGAGACAGGCAGAGAGAUACAUUUCUUGGAGAAGAUGAAAAGGAGACACUCCCAGAGGAUGUCCCCACGAUUUGGUCCCAGAACAGAAGAACCAGAGCAGGAUACGUCAACCCCAUCAAAGUCAGGAGGAAUGGGCCAGAGUGGAGACGGCGGACAUGUUGUCUCUCCCAACACCUCCGAGGCCCCCUCGUCUGCUAUGCAGGUCUCCUCACCUGCAAAGCAGGGCCCUUUAUGGGUCUCUGCGUCUCCACAUCUCGAAAGUCUGUAAUGCCAGUCUCCUCUUUGUUUCCACGCCUGAGACGCGGGUCCCCUCUCCCAUCUCCUCUCCUGCUAAGCUCCCACUGCCAGUCUUCUCUCCCUCGACCCCCCCAAGAUCUGAGACACAGGUCUCCGCUCGGAUCUUCACGCUCCCCAUGCUCGCAUCUCCAGUCUCCACACCUGUCAUGCAGCUCUCCUUGCCGACCAGUCUCUUCCCUGGACUCCACGCCUGAGACGCGUGUCUCCUCUCGCAUCUCCUCACCCGCCAAGCCCUCACUGUCAGUCUUCCGGCCCCUCUCCACGCCCACAACGCCUGCGACGCUGGCGAUCUCCCCUACAACGCCCACGACGCAAGUCCCCUCCCGGGUCUCCACGCAAGUGUCACGGGUCUCCUCACCUUCAAUGCCCACGACUCCUGGGACGCAUGUCUCCAAGCCAAUCUCCACUCCCCGCACGCCAGUCUCCACACCUGCAACACCGGAGACACGGUCUCCUUUUCGAUGCCCACGCUCCAGUUGCCCGCAUCUCCGGUCUCCACGCCUGGAACGCAGCUCUCCUCGGCCAUCUCCCCACCCCAGACCGCUGCAACGUCCGGGACGCGGGUCUCCCCACCGGUCUGCACGCCCACCAUGCCCUCGACACCCUCGUCUGGCAUCUUUUCGCUCAUCUCUAUGCCUCCGAUACCAGUCUCCUCCCUCGACUCCACGCCACCAACACCCCAAGGCAGCUCUCCGCUCCUGUCUCCUCACCUCGCUGGUCAAACCCCACUGCCAAUCUCCUCGCCCCUCUCCACGCCCCCGACGUCUGUGACGCCAGUCUCCCGCCCCGGACGUUGGUGAUGCCCCGGACAGAGACUUCCUCUCCAGUCUCCAUGCGUAAGCCCCUGUCGCCAGUCUCAUCGCCCGCCUCCACGUGCGCAAGACCUGUCUCGUCGCCUACAACGCCCGUGACACCCACAGUGCAAGUCUUCUCAGCUGCCAAGUGCCCUCUCCUGCAACGGUGGCGACGCUGGACUCCGUACUGGUCUCCACGCCCGUUGCGCUCCAGCUGCGGGUGUCCUCGCCAGUGUCGGUGCCCUGGCAUCCGCGCUCCUGCCCUUGCAAGUCUCCUCUCCUGAAACGCGUGCAACUCAUGAGUCUUAUCUCCCAGCCCCCCCGAGGUCACCUCCCAUCUGUUCACUGGUCCCAACUCCCUCUUGGCCCACAAGGCUGGUCUCCUCGCGCAGACACACCAAUUCCAGGGAAAUCUUUCUUUGACCUCAGGAACCUAGAUCUUGUUCAGAGGUGGGAACUUGUUUAAUUGGAAUUUGGCACCAUUUGAGUUCUGCCUUGUCUGUUCCGACCUGGGAAUUUGGUUCUUCUCCGUCUCAGCAAUGAUCUUCCAGCUUCUCACUAUGGAUCAGUAAUCUUUCCCCCUCGAUAGCGCAGAUGGAAGGUUUGCGCUCUGCCCUCAGGCCCUCUCCAAACGCCAGCAGUUGAAUGGAUCCCUAUUCACCCGCUGUCUUGAUGCACCCCCCCACACACACACACACAGAUGCACGCGCACACGCAGGCACACACGCGCGCGCGCGCGCAAAGCUCUGCAUCUACAAGCCCAGGAAUCCCAUCACCCAUCAAGUGCACUAGACCUCAUGGACCCGUGGGAUCAGAGCUCCAGCUAUGAAUAGUCCAGAGAGAAAAGUUUGCCCCCUUCUGGUCACUCCCCUCUUUUUGUCUGCUGCCCCCCCCCCCCCCCCCCCNNNNNNNNNNNNNNNNNNNNAGUAUAUAUGCUACGUCUCUGCUUCCACUGUCUUCAAACAGGGCAAGCAAGAAGGUCUCGAGCCUGUUUGUCCACAGUUUGUGCUUAUUCACAGAGCCUUGCCUGCAGGACCUCUCUCGCAGAGAAGGUCCCAUGACUGAACUCGGUGAACGUGGUGGAAUAUUUCAUAUAUUGUCUAUAACUGUGAGCUGGUAACAGGAUGCGCGUGCCUAGGUUUAGCGCUGCAAUGCAUUCAGUUGGAGGUAUGUCACCCUGUCCACCAGACCCUCUAUGGAAUCCCAGAAUGCAGUUCUGCACAGUGCAUGUUAGGGCAUCAGUAAGACACCCAGCUGCCCAGGAGCUGAAGUGGGGUCUCCGCCACCCACUUAGGGCAUCUCCCCUCAUUGUUUGCUCCCCAGACAAAUGCCCACCUGUUUAGCUGCCAUCCCACUGGAGCUUAUUCCAUCUACAUUACUUUUUCUUUUUCUCUCUCAUCCCCUGCCUCUCUCUCAUUUUCUUGCCCACCACAGACCACUCUUCCAAUGUCCAAAAACGUUUAUUUCCCUUAUUUAUAUGAGCAACUUUGUUUAUUUGAGUCCUCCUUUCCUAGGACAUUUUCACGGGAGCAUAUGUUUUUAAUGUACAUAAAUAAGAUUGUAUUUUAAAUUUCAUUCUGUUUAUUUUUUGCACACCACUAUUUAUAAAACUGUGUGACACUGAGUGUAUUUAUCCCAUUGCUUCUCACUGCUGCAUCAUAUUCCCUGGUGUGCAUCUCCACGUGUUGCUGGCAUCUUCCUUCAGUAAUGCCCUUAGGCUGCCUCCCACUCCCAUGACUGUGAAGGAUUCUGUGACAACCCCCUCAACUGUCAUCUCGUUUGACCAGGAUGAGAGUUUCUUCCUCGAUUCAUUCCCAGGAUCCUGGCUACUUGGUCAUGUUUUAAACGUAUAAAACAUUUAAUCUCCAUCAUGGAUACCCCAGUCUACACUCUGACCUUUAGCCCUGACCCCUGUCAACCCACACCAUUUAUCAGCUUUUUAUCAUUUCACCUUUCUGAAGGGCAUACAGAGAAAGCCUUUCCUUCAUGUUUUUCAAAAUAUCCUGUUCUUCCACAUAAAUUUUAGAAUAGUUGAGAAUUUAUUCCAUAUUAUUCUUUUGGGAUAUAAUUGACGUAUUACAUUGUAUUUAUAUUAUUUGCUUAUAUGAUUUGGGGGCAAAACUUUAUCAAGUCCACACACAGACACAAAGGGCAGGUAGCAUUCAGAUCAGCAUUGUUUAGAGUUUACAAGUGAAUUUGGACGAAUCAGCUUCUUGUUAAACUUUCCCAUUCGUAGGCAAGUUAUAUCUCCCCAUAUGUUCAGAUAUUUAAUGCCCCCCAAUAAAAGUUUACCAUUUUAUGCAGAAUGACCUUGACGAUUAUUUGUAGAUUUGUCCUUCAAUUACCCAGUCUUUGUUUUUGUUCUGAGAGGGCUCUUUUGAAAAGAAAUCAUUUUUUUUCUGUAAGAAGUUGUUGCUGGUGAAUAGGUCUCUUUUGAGUUGUGGGAGGUGAUCUGUUGUCCAGCAGCAGCCUUGGUGAAAUCUGUAACAUUUCUGAUUGUUUGCAAAUUUUCCUGGUUUUUUAAUGUAGGCAGGUAUCCUGGGCAAAUAAUUAUAAUUUGUAUCUUUUUCACCAAAUUUCCCGCUUUUUCUCGACCCACUGGGCUGGUUAUGACCUUAGAUAUAAAGCUGAAUAUGUGCAAGAAUGGUGGAAAUCUGCAUCUUGCCUGUCAUUCCAGGAAUGCUCUGUACUUUACCUAGUCUGUGGAUUGUUUGCUGUAUCUUUCUUUUCUUUUUUUUUUUAAAGAUUUUAUUUUUCCUUUUUCUCCCCAAAGCCCCCCGGCUACAUAAUUGUAUAUUCUUUGUUGUGGGUCCUUCUAGUUGUGGCAUGUGGGACGCUGCCUCAGCGUGGUUUGAUGAGCAGUGUCAUGUCCAUGCCCAGGAUUCGAACCAAUGAAACACUGGGCCGCCUGCAGCGGAGCGCACGAACUUAACCACUCAGCCACGGGGCCAGCCUGCUGUCUCUUUCUAGCAGAGGUUUUUAAAUCAGAUUUUAAUAAUUUUAUUCCUUGCUUUCCAGGAUGUUACUAACAUUUUAAACUAUGACUGGGUACUAACUAUUAACAACUGCUUUUUCUGCAUCUACUGAGGUGUGAUUUGAUUAUUAUUUUUUCUGGUUAAUCUAUUAAAAUGAAUCUCUUUGAUUCUGUGCCACUCUCUCAUAAGCGUGGUUCCAUUCAUGAGUAUGUUUUAAUGUUUAUCAUUACAAUGGUAUAAAGUCCAACAUUUUUGGGUUUUUUUUUUCAUGAGGAAAAUUGUUGCUGAGCUCACAUCUAUGCCAGUCUUCCUUUAUUUUGUAUGUGGGUGGCUGCCAUAGCAUGGCCACCAACC
Molecule: long non-coding RNA, 7321 nt
Organism: Equus caballus (horse)
Lineage: Eukaryota; Metazoa; Chordata; Mammalia; Perissodactyla; Equidae
Source: Ensembl